AAAGGGUGCGUAGGCGGAUGCUUAAGUCAGGGGUGAAAUCCCGAGGCUCAACCUCGGAACUGCCUUUGAUACUGGGCGUCUUGAGUCCGGAAGAGGUGAGUGGAACUGCGAGUGUAGAGGUGAAAUUCGUAGAUAUUCGCAAGAACACCGGUGGCGAAGGCGGCUCACUGGUCCGGAACUGACGCUGAGGCACGACAGCGUGGGGAGCAAACAGGAUUAGAUACCCUUGU
This 230-nucleotide ribosomal RNA is filed under the name uncultured bacterium. RNAcentral's name for it is "partial 16S ribosomal RNA". It matches the Rfam family "Bacterial small subunit ribosomal RNA", at positions 562 to 791 of the family's 1533-position model. The record is from RNAcentral.